RNAcentral lists this ribosomal RNA (433 nucleotides) under uncultured bacterium. RNAcentral describes it as "partial 16S ribosomal RNA". It matches the Rfam family "Bacterial small subunit ribosomal RNA", at positions 29 to 507 of the family's 1533-position model. The record is from RNAcentral.
AACGAACGCUGGCGGCAUGCCUAACACAUGCAAGUCGAACGAAACCUUCGGGUCUAGUUGCGCACGGGUGCGUAACGCGUGGGAACCUGCCCUUAGGUUCGGAAUAACUCCCCGAAAGGGGUGCUAAUACCGGAUAAUGUCUUCGGACCAAAGAUUUAUCGCCCUUGGAUGGGCCCGCGUUGGAUUAGCUAGUUGGUAGGGUAAAAGCCUACCAAGGCGAAGAUCCAUAGCUGGUCUGAGAGGAGGAUCAGCCACACUGGGACUGCGACACGGACCAGACUCCUACGGGAGGCAGCAGUGGGGAAUAUUGGACAACGGGCGAAAGCCUAAGCCAGCAAUGCCGCGUGAGUGAUGAAGGUCUUAGGGUUGUAAAGCUCGUUUACCCGGGAUGAUAAUGACAGUACCGGGAGAAUAAGCUCCGGCUAACUCCGUG